This 144-nucleotide unclassified non-coding RNA is filed under the name uncultured Devriesia. RNAcentral describes it as "sequence contains ITS1". Lineage: Eukaryota; Fungi; Ascomycota; Dothideomycetes; Mycosphaerellales; Teratosphaeriaceae. The record is from RNAcentral.
CCAGAGAUGGCGGGCCCCCGCGCCCCCGUCCCCAACCCUUUGUUGACCAAACCACUUUUGCCUCGGGGGCAGAGCGGCCUCCGCCGCCCCCGGUGGACCAUUUAACACUGUCUCUAUACGUCGGAGUCUUUGAUAAAUACAUUA